Molecule: ribosomal RNA, 267 nt
Filed under: uncultured bacterium
Lineage: Bacteria
Description: partial 16S ribosomal RNA
Rfam family: Bacterial small subunit ribosomal RNA
Source: RNAcentral
GUCCACGCUGUAAACGAUGAUCACUGGGUGUAGCGGGUAAUCAUUCCUGCUGUGCCGUAGCUAACGCGAUAAGUGAUCCGCCUGGGGAUUACGGUGGCAACACUAAAACUCAAAGGAAUUGACGGGGGCCCCGCACAAGCGGUGGAGUAUGUGGUUUAAUUCGACGCAACGCGAAGAACCUUACCUGGGCUUGACAUCCCCGGACAACCCUGGAAACAGGGCCUUCCCCUUCGGGGGACCGGGAGACAGGUGCUGCAUGGCUGUCGU